GACGAACGCUGGCGGCGUGCUUAACACAUGCAAGUCGAACGGAAAGGCCCUGCUUGCAGGGUACUCGAGUGGCGAACGGGUGAGUAACACGUGGGUGAUCUGCCCUGCACUUCGGGAUAAGCUUGGGAAACUGGGUCUAAUACCGGAUAGGAACCAUCUUUAGUGUGGUGGUUGGAAAGUUUUUUCGGUGUAGGAUGAGCUCGCGGCCUAUCGGCUUGUUGGUGGGGUAAUGGCCUACCAAGGCGGCGACGGGUAGCCGGCCUGAGAGGGUGUACGGCCACAUUGGGACUGAGAUACGGCCCAGACUCCUACGGGAGGCAGCAGUGGGGAAUAUUGCACAAUGGGCGCAAGCCUGAUGCAGCGACGCCGCGUGGGGGAUGAAGGCCUUAGGGUUGUAAACUCCUUUCGCUAGGGACGAAGCUUUGUUGUGACGGUACCUAGAUAAGAAGCACCGGCUAACUACGUG
Molecule: ribosomal RNA, 466 nt
Filed under: uncultured bacterium
Lineage: Bacteria
Description: partial 16S ribosomal RNA
Rfam family: Bacterial small subunit ribosomal RNA
Source: RNAcentral